GUUUGAUGUAAUGCUUAUGUAUGUCCAUGUCUUUUGGCAUGUUCAUGUCUUGUACAGCAUAUAGAGGGGCAGCCGAAGGCUUAAUAGUCCCAUUUUAGUUGGGUUGGUGGCCUCAUUAGGCUUGUAAAUAAAGGUUGUGUCAUGUGGAUACGUGCGAGAGAUUUUCGGUCUAUAAUGGACCAUUUUACCCUUUGUUGUGCCACUGUUCAGAGCUUGUAAAGUC
Molecule: long non-coding RNA, 223 nt
Filed under: Musa acuminata (dwarf banana)
Lineage: Eukaryota; Viridiplantae; Streptophyta; Magnoliopsida; Zingiberales; Musaceae
Description: long non-coding RNA (MACU_LNC007000)
Source: RNAcentral